CCUUGACAUACUAAGAACUUUCCAGAGAUGGAUUGGUGCCUUCGGGAACUUAGAUACAGGUGCUGCAUGGCUGUCGUCAGCUCGUGUCGUGAGAUGUUGGGUUAAGUCCCGCAACGAGCGCAACCCUUUUCCUUAUUUGCCAGCGGGUAAUGCCGGGAACUUUAAGGAUACUGCCAGUGACAAACUGGAGGAAGGCGGGGACGACGUCAAGUCAUCAUGGCCCUUACGGCCAGGGCUACACACGUGCUACAAUGGUCGGUACAAAGGGUUGCUACCUCGCGAGAGGAUGCUGAUCUCAAAAAGCCGAUCGUAGUCCGGAUCGCAGUCUGCAACUCGACUGCGUGAAGUCGGAAUCGCUAGUAAUCGCGGAUCAGAAUGCCGCGGUGAAUACGUUCCCGGGCCUUGUACACACCGCCCGUCACACCAUGGGAGUUUGUUGCACCAGAAGUAGGUAGUCUAACCGCAAGGAGGACGCUUACCACGGUGUGGCCGAUGACUGGGGUGAAGUCGUAACAAGGUAGGCGUAGAUGA
Molecule: ribosomal RNA, 531 nt
Filed under: uncultured bacterium
Lineage: Bacteria
Description: bacterial SSU rRNA
Rfam family: Bacterial small subunit ribosomal RNA
Source: RNAcentral